This is a non-coding RNA of Cyprinus carpio (common carp), 74 nucleotides long. NCBI's taxonomy places the organism in Eukaryota, Metazoa, Chordata, Actinopteri, Cypriniformes, Cyprinidae. The record is from the annotation of a RefSeq genome assembly.
GGUGCUGUGGCUUAGCUGGUCUUAGCGCUUGUCUUGUAAACAAGAGAUCUUGGGUUAAAAUCCCAGCAGUGCCU